Molecule: ribosomal RNA, 391 nt
Filed under: uncultured bacterium
Lineage: Bacteria
Description: bacterial SSU rRNA
Rfam family: Bacterial small subunit ribosomal RNA
Source: RNAcentral
CGGGAUAGCCCAGGGAAACCUGGAUCAAUACCGGAUGCGAGGGCGGCCGCACAAGCGGCCGUCGGGAAAGGCGCUUCGGCGCCGCCGGGGGAUGGGUCCGCGUCCCAUUAGCUAGACGGUGGGGUGACGGCCCACCGUGGCGAUGAUGGGUAGCCGGCCUGAGAGGGUGGACGGCCACAUUGGAACUGAGACACGGUCCAGACUCCUACGGGAGGCAGCAGCUAAGAAUCUCCGCAAUGGGCGAAAGCCUGACGGAGCGACGCCGCGUGAACGAAGAAGGCCGUGAGGUUGUAAAGUUCUCUUCGGGAGGGGGAAUGAGGCUGCCAGGCAAUGGGCGGCCGAUGACGUGAAUCCCGGAAUAAGCCCCGGCUAACUACGUGCCAGCCGCAGC